AUUGAACGCUGGCGGCAGGCCUAACACAUGCAAGUCGAACGGUAACAGGAAGCAGCUUGCUGCUUUGCUGACGAGUGGCGGACGGGUGAGUAAUGUCUGGGAAACUGCCUGAUGGAGGGGGAUAACUACUGGAAACGGUAGCUAAUACCGCAUAACGUCGCAAGACCAAAGAGGGGGACCUUCGGGCCUCUUGCCAUCGGAUGUGCCCAGAUGGGAUUAGCUUGUUGGUGGGGUAACGGCUCACCAAGGCGACGAUCCCUAGCUGGUCUGAGAGGAUGACCAGCCACACUGGAACUGAGACACGGUCCAGACUCCUACGGGAUGCAGCAGUGGGGAAUAUUGCACAAUGGGCGCAAGCCUGAUGCAGCCAUGCCGCGUGUAUGAAGAAGGCCUUCGGGUUGUAAAGUACUUUCAGCGGGGAGGAAGGGAGUAAAGUUAAUACCUUUACUCAUUGACGUUACCCGCAGAAGAAGCACCGUCUAACUCCGUG
Molecule: ribosomal RNA, 490 nt
Filed under: uncultured bacterium
Lineage: Bacteria
Description: partial 16S ribosomal RNA
Rfam family: Bacterial small subunit ribosomal RNA
Source: RNAcentral